RNAcentral lists this unclassified non-coding RNA (339 nucleotides) under soil metagenome. RNAcentral's name for it is "partial contains 5.8S ribosomal RNA, internal transcribed spacer 2, and large subunit ribosomal RNA". The stretch from base 1 to 120 matches the Rfam family "5.8S ribosomal RNA", at positions 35 to 154 of the family's 154-position model. The record is from RNAcentral.
GAUGAAGAACGUAGCGAAAUGCGAUAAGUAGUGUGAAUUGCAGAAUUCAGUGAAUCAUCGAAUCUUUGAACGCACAUUGCGCCCUUUGGUAUUCCUUAGGGCAUGCCUGUUCGAGCGUCAUUUAAACCUUCAAGCUCAGCUUGGUGUUGGGUGACUGUCCGCCGCCUCCGGGCGGUCGGACUCGCCUCAAAUUGAUUGGCGGCCGGUACUUUGGCUUCGAGCGCAGCAGAAACGCGAACUCGAGGCCGUCGUCCUGGCUCCCAGAAGCUAUCUUCACAAUUUUGACCUCGGAUCAGGUAGGGAUACCCGCUGAACUUAAGCAUCUCAAUAAGCGGAGGA